UACGGGGGGAGCAAGCGUUGUUCGGAUUUACUGGGCGUAAAGGGUGCGUAGGCGGCUUGUCAAGUCAGUUGUGAAAUCUCCGAGCUUAACUCGGAACGGUCAACUGAUACUGUCAUGCUAGAGUGCAGAAGGGGCAAUCGGAAUUCUUGGUGUAGCGGUGAAAUGCGUAGAUAUCAAGAGGAACACCUGAGGUGAAGACGGGUUGCUGGGCUGACACUGACGCUGAAGCACGAAAGCUAGGGUAGCAAACGGG
RNAcentral lists this ribosomal RNA (253 nucleotides) under uncultured bacterium. Its description in RNAcentral is "partial 16S ribosomal RNA". It matches the Rfam family "Bacterial small subunit ribosomal RNA", at positions 524 to 776 of the family's 1533-position model. The record is from RNAcentral.